UCUUUCUUUCUUUCUUUCUUUCUUUCUUUCUUUCUUUCUAAGAGAGAGAGAGAGAGAGAGAGAGAGAGAGAGAGAGAGA
RNAcentral lists this microRNA precursor (79 nucleotides) under Marmota monax (woodchuck). The record is from RNAcentral. Lineage: Eukaryota; Metazoa; Chordata; Mammalia; Rodentia; Sciuridae.